Molecule: long non-coding RNA, 423 nt
Organism: Aedes albopictus (Asian tiger mosquito)
Lineage: Eukaryota; Metazoa; Arthropoda; Insecta; Diptera; Culicidae
Exons: 2
Source: RefSeq, a predicted model, not a curated record
GGCCUGCAACUCUAAACUUUUACAAAUAUUGACUAGUGGUACUGUGGUAGUAUUUUUAGUAUUUGUAAUAUUUCAAAUCGAAGCAACAACGAUUGACCUGGUUGCUAUGUUGCUAUAAGUUGCCAUGAGCUGUCAAACCGUCAGUUUGUUGUGCCCAAACGAGUGAUGUGAAUUUUCGAAUCGGACCUUGGAUUGGAAGUCUUGUGUUACGCGUUGUGCAAAUGAAAUUUUACAAUUGUUAUUACUAUAAUUACCCCAACGAUCAACGCUAAAAGUGAUAAGAAGACGCUUGCAAGCUAAGAGGAUAUUUCGGGUAUGAGACAUCCAGAGAUUAUUUUCGAAGUGUUGAAUAUGGCUGAAAGAAGAGCAACUUAACACCGUACUGUUAUCAUAUAGUUGAUUAAAUAAAGCCUUAAUUGAUCA